Molecule: ribosomal RNA, 406 nt
Filed under: uncultured bacterium
Lineage: Bacteria
Description: partial 16S ribosomal RNA
Rfam family: Bacterial small subunit ribosomal RNA
Source: RNAcentral
AUUGAACGCUGGCGGCAGGCCUAACACAUGCAAGUCGAGCGAGCGGCGGACGGGUGAGUAAUGUAUGGGGAUCUGCCCGAUGGAGGGGGAUAACUACUGGAAACGGUAGCUAAUACCGCAUACCAUCAGAUGAACCCAUAUGGGAUUAGCUUGUAGGUAGGGUAACGGCUUACCUAGGCGACGCUCCCUAGCUGGUCUGAGAGGAUGAUCAGCCAAACUGGGACUGAGACACGGCCCAGACUCCUACGGGAGGCAGCAGUGGGGAAUAUUGCACAAUGGGGGCAAGCCGGAUGCAGCCAUGCCGCGUGUAUGAAGAAGGCCUUCGGGUUGUAAAGUACUUUCAGUGGGGAGGCGUUACCGACAGAAGAAGCACCGGCUAACUCCGUGCCAGCAGCCGCGGUAAUAC